GACAGAGGGCGCAAGCGUUGUUCGGAAUCAUUGGGCGUAAAGCGGGUGUAGGCGGCUGUGUAAGCGGGACGUGAAAUCCAGCGGCUCAACCGCGGAAUUGCGUUGGAAACUGCCCGGCUUGAGGUCCGGAGAGGGUGGUGGAAUUCCGGGUGGAGAGGUGAAAUGCGUAGAUAUCCAGAGGAACACCAGUGGCGAAGGCGGCCGCCUGGCGGGUUUCUGACGCUGAGGUGCGAAAGCGUGGGGAGCAAACAGG
Molecule: ribosomal RNA, 253 nt
Filed under: uncultured bacterium
Lineage: Bacteria
Description: partial 16S ribosomal RNA
Rfam family: Bacterial small subunit ribosomal RNA
Source: RNAcentral